This 253-nucleotide ribosomal RNA is filed under the name uncultured bacterium. Its description in RNAcentral is "partial 16S ribosomal RNA". It matches the Rfam family "Bacterial small subunit ribosomal RNA", at positions 524 to 776 of the family's 1533-position model. The record is from RNAcentral.
UACGAGGGGGGCAAAUGUUGUUUGGAAUCACUGGGCGUAAAGGGAGCGUAGGCGGGCUUUUAAGUUAGGUGUUUAAUCUUGGGGCUCAACCCCGGACAGGCACCUAAAACUGGGAGUCUUGAAUAGUGGAGAGGACGGCGGAAUUGGGGGUGUAGCGGUGGAAUGCGUAGAGAUCCCCAAGAACACCAGUUGUGAAGGCGGCCGUCUGGACACAUAUUGACGCUGAGGCUCGAAAGCAUGGGGAGCAAACAGG